UAGCCUUCCUAUCCCUACCUUUCUUCUCUCCUUGUCUUCCAUAAUUCUCUUCCUAGGCUCUUGUCCUAAAAUCGGACUUAUCUUUAUUAUUUUUGGACUUAUUAUAAUAAGAGAAAGAAGAGACUAAUUAGAUAAUAGGGAGAGUGUGUAAGAAAGAAUAGAUAGGAGCAAUUUUCUGAAUGAAUCAAAUCUCUGACGCAGCCCCCUUUUAAUAGUUAGC
RNAcentral lists this long non-coding RNA (220 nucleotides) under Elaeis guineensis (African oil palm). RNAcentral describes it as "long non-coding RNA (EGUI_LNC068856)". The record is from RNAcentral. Lineage: Eukaryota; Viridiplantae; Streptophyta; Magnoliopsida; Arecales; Arecaceae.